AGGGUUUGAUCAUGGCUCAGAACGUACGCUGGCGGCACGCCUAACACAUGCAAGUCGAACGAAGUAGCAAUACUUAGUGGCAGACGGGUGAGUAACAUGUAGGUAUCUGCCCUUUGGCCUGGAAUAACACGAGGAAACUUGUGCUAAUACCGGAUAUGUCUUUACGGAGAAAGCUUUAUGCACCAUUGGAUGAGCCUGCACUUGAUUAGUUUGUUGGUGGGGUAAUGGCCUACCAAGACUGUGAUCAAUAGCUGAUUUGAGAGGAUGAUCAGCCACAUUGGGACUGAGACACGGCCCAAACUCCUACGGGAGGCAGCAGUGGGGAAUCUUGCACAAUGGAGGAAACUCUGAUGCAGCGAUGCCGCGUGAGUGAAGAAGGCCCUUGGGUUGUAAAGCCCUUUCGUCGGGGAAGAAAACGACUGUACCCGAAUAAGAAGGUCCGGCUAACUUCGUGCCAGCAGCCGCGGUAAUACGAAGGGACCUAGCGUAGUUCGGAAUUACUGGGCUUAAAGAGUUCGUAGGUGGUUGAAAUAGUUGGUGGUGAAAUCCCAGAGCUUAACUCUGGAACUGCCAUCAAAACUUUUCAGCUAGAGUAUGAUAGAGGAAAGCAGAAUUUCUAGUGUAGAGGUGAAAUUCGUAGAUAUUAGAAAGAAUACCAAUUGCGAAGGCAGCUUUCUGGAUCAUUACUGACACUGAGGAACGAAAGCAUGGGUAGCGAAGAGGAUUAGAUACCCUCGUAGUCCAUGCCGUAAACGAUGUGUGUUAGACGUUGGAAAUUUAUUUUCAGUGUCGCAGGGUAACCGAUAUACACACCGCCUGGGGAGUACGACCGCAAGGUUAAAACUCAAAUGAAUUGACGGGGGCCCGCACAAGUAGUGGAGCAUGUGGUUUAAUUCGAAGAUACGCGCAGAACCUUACCAACACUUGACAUGUUCGUCGCGACUCUAAGAGAUUAGAGCUUUCGGUUCGGCCGGACGAAACACAGGUGCUGCAUGGCUGUCGUCAGCUCGUGUCGUGAGAUGUUGGGUUAAGUCCCGCAACGAGCGCAACCCUCACUUUUAGUUGCCAUCAUUAAGUUGGGCACUCUGAAAGAACUGCCAGUGAUAAGCUGGAGGAAGGUGGGGAUGACGUCAAGUCCUCAUGGCCCUUACGUGUUGGGCUACACACGUGCUACAAUGGUAUCUACAACAGGAAGCAAGACUGCGAAGUUAAGCAAAUCCCUAAAAGAUACCUCAGUUCGGAUUGCACUCUGCAACUCGAGUGCAUGAAGCUGGAAUUACUAGUAAUCGUGGAUCAGCGUGCCACGGUGAAUGCGUUCCCGGGUCUUGUACACACCGCCCGUCACACCAUGGGAGUUGGUUCUACCUUAAGGCAAGGUUUUAAACCCUUGACCACGGUAUAGUCAGCGACUGGGGUGAAGUCGUAACAAGGUAGCCA
Molecule: ribosomal RNA, 1437 nt
Filed under: uncultured bacterium
Lineage: Bacteria
Description: bacterial SSU rRNA
Rfam family: Bacterial small subunit ribosomal RNA
Source: RNAcentral